This 542-nucleotide ribosomal RNA is filed under the name uncultured bacterium. Its description in RNAcentral is "partial 16S ribosomal RNA". It matches the Rfam family "Bacterial small subunit ribosomal RNA", at positions 355 to 885 of the family's 1533-position model. The record is from RNAcentral.
UGGGGAAUAUUGCACAAUGGGCGCAAGCCUGAUGCAGCCAUGCCGCGUGUAUGAAGAAGGCCUUCGGGUUGUAAAGCACUUUCAGCGAGGAGGAAGGUGGUGAGCUUAAUACGCUCAUCAAUUGACGUUACUCGCAGAAGAAGCACCGGCUAACUCCGUGCCAGCAGCCGCGGUAAUACGGAGGGUGCAAGCGUUAAUCGGAAUUACUGGGCGUAAAGCGCACGCAGGCGGUUUGUUAAGUCAGAUGUGAAAUCCCCGGGCUCAACCUGGGAACUGCAUUUGAAACUGGCAAGCUAGAGUCUCGUAGAGGGGGGUAGAAUUCCAGGUGUAGCGGUGAAAUGCGUAGAGAUCUGGAGGAAUACCGGUGGCGAAGGCGGCCCCCCUGGACGAAGACUGACGCUCAGGUGCGAAAGCGUGGGGCAGCAAACAGGAUUAGAUACCCUGGUAGUCCACGCUGUAAACGAUGUCGAUUUGGAGGUUGUGCCCCUUGAGGCGUGGNUUCCGGAGCUAACGCGUUAAAGUCGACCGCCUGGGGAGUACGG